AAUUGUCUUGUAAUUGGAAUGAUGGUGACCUAAACCCUCACCAGAGUAACAAUUGGAGGGCAAGUCUGGUGCCAGCAGCCGCGGUAAUUCCAGCUCCAAUAGCGUAUAUUAAACUUGUUGCAGUUAAAAAGCUCGUAGUUGAAUUUUUGCGUGGUGUCAACAUUGACUGAUGUCGAGAUUGCACUUCGCUUUUGGGAUUUUUCCCUUUUUACUUUGAGAAAAUUAGAGUGUUUCAAGCAGACUUUUGUCUUGAAUACUUCAGCAUGGAAUAAUAGAGUAGGACUUUGGUUCUAUUUUGUUGGUUUGUGAACCUUAGUAAUGGUUAAUAGGAACGGUUGGGGGCAUUCGUAUUUA
This 354-nucleotide ribosomal RNA is filed under the name Babesia capreoli. Its description in RNAcentral is "SSU rRNA". It matches the Rfam family "Eukaryotic small subunit ribosomal RNA", at positions 496 to 900 of the family's 1831-position model. The record is from RNAcentral. Lineage: Eukaryota; Apicomplexa; Aconoidasida; Piroplasmida; Babesiidae.